This 468-nucleotide ribosomal RNA is filed under the name uncultured bacterium. RNAcentral describes it as "partial 16S ribosomal RNA". It matches the Rfam family "Bacterial small subunit ribosomal RNA", at positions 28 to 507 of the family's 1533-position model. The record is from RNAcentral.
GAUGAACGCUGGCGGCGUGCUUAAUACAUGCAAGUCGAACGGAAAGGCGCUGCUUUUGUGGCUUGCUCGUGUGGCGCACGGGUGAGUAACACACGAGUAACACGUCCUUGUAUUUGGGGUAAAUUCUGGAAAAUCGGGAUAAUAUACGAUAGAAGCUACUGCUGCAUGUGGGUCAUUGGUAAAAUUCGGCGGUUCGGGAUUGUAUCGCUGGUUAUCAGCUUGUUGGUGGGGUUGUGGCUUACCAAGGCUUUGACGGGUAGCCGGCCUGAGAGGGUGACCGGCCACAUUGGGACUGAGAUACGGCCCAGACUCCUACGGGAGGCAGCAGUGGGGAAUAUUGCACAAUGGGCGGAAGCCUGAUGCAGCAACGCCGCGUGCGGGAUGACGGCCUUCGAGUUGUAAACCGCUUUCGCCUGUGACGAAGCGUGAGUGACGGUAAUGGGUAAAGAAGCACCGGCUAACUACGUG